Long non-coding RNA from Oryzias sinensis (Chinese medaka), 3368 nucleotides. NCBI's taxonomy places the organism in Eukaryota, Metazoa, Chordata, Actinopteri, Beloniformes, Adrianichthyidae. The record is from Ensembl.
GUAGCGAAAAUUAACCUGCACAACAGAACAAAAUAUAUGCUAAAUAAAAAUGACCUACCCCCCACCCACAAAAAAGAAAAGUUGAGAUAUCUCAUUGGGGAUCAUGUUGGCUCUACCAAAUAAACAAAACAAAGCAGUUUUCCUUUUUGCAUCAUAAACAAAUGUGUUUUACAUCAGCGUGCAUUUUUCUAAACAUAAAGAAAAUGAUACUUUCUAAAACAAAGUUUGGGGUUUUGUCGGUGAAGUUUUUUUUCCAAAUUUAUUGAUUAGCUGCGGUGGAGUUGUUAUUGGGCCCAGAAAAUUCUAAAAUUAUUUCUAAGGUUGUAUUGUCUUGCAUGUAUUGAAAUACUCCAGAGCCAAGUGGAAUACAGUCAAAAAGUUAUGACAACACAAUGCUUAAGUCCCAGAGUGUCCUGUAAGUGCAAUACAUGUAAAAAUACAGAGGAAUCCAAUGACAGAGACUCAUUUGUUGCCUGUGAUGUGUCCACUGAUAGAAAUGAGUGUUGCCUGGGGGUGGAGUCCACGUCUCCCUAUUCUGUCAAAUGGUAAGGUACCGUGCACAAGGGAGCUUUGGAAUGAGCCUUUGUUUUGGUUGGCUCUCCUCCUCUUGCUCUCCUGUCAUCCUUUGAUCAUGUCAAGUUCUUGCUCUAUUCCUCACUUCAUGUCUAACCUCUUGAGUUUGAUGGGAGAGAAGAUGCAUUCAGGACCGCACCAGGAGAGAGACAAAAGUAUCCAAUUCACAUCACUCGUUUCUCCCCAGAAGGCCAUUCCUGUCCUCACCUUGAAGCUCCCACCUUUCAAGAUCUCCAUUCAGGUGACAGAAGCUGGAUUGCAUGCCUGUAUCUCCCCCUCCAGGACAACUUGGUUUAUGAUUUCAGUCUCCCUGAACACGAGCAAUCUCCCCUCCAUCCUCAUACUCUGAAAUCUAUAAAAACAGUAAAGGUAGGGGGGCAUCCUGAAAAAAGUGUGUCCUUUGUAUUGGAACAGAGCGUUCCAAUACAAAACAAUUUUAAGAGAAGCAUGCUCCAUUUUCCAAAUUCUGUUUUCCCUGCCCUUUUCUCAUCUGCCUCCCCAUCUCCCCAGCGCCAGCCUGAGCUGAUAACAAGUGAGUGCACUCCCUGGAAUGAUGGAUGGGCCUUAGCUAUGGGCUUGUCAGGAGAGGGUGCCGGGCCAUAUGGAAGUGGCAUAUGGAAGCUCAUAGUGGAAGAUGGGGCAAAAGGAGGGGAGUGACAGAGAUAUACAUUAAAGACACAGCUUUGCUCUUAAAAAUGCAAGGUUCAUCAGUUUGGUGGGUAAAAUCAGUCAGUUCUGCUUCCUUCCGUGGGACUGGAGGGAAGCAAACAGAGGCAGAUGCAGGCUUCUCUCUUGCUGUUACCGUGUAACAUUUAUAUUUAGACUCCUUUUAAAUCAUCAGCUUUGCACUUUUUUGUUGUUUAGACCAGAAAGUUCUACAAAGACAGAAACAGAAUAAAGAAAGGCUUAGAAUUAUAUUGUAUCAGCCACAUUUAAUUUCCAGUUUAAUACAGAUGAAUGCCUGCACACAAGUUUGCCCCAGCUUUCCUGCGAACAAGCAUUAAUUAUGUCUUCACAUCAAGUGAUGAGAAGUCUAUUUUUACCUUUCUAUCUUUGUCAGUGUGCACUAGUUUUGUGCGUGCUGGAGUGGAUGUGUACAAUCAUCCGUGAACAUGUGUGCCUGUCUCUGUCUGUCUGUCUUUCUCCGUGCCCUGUGGAGUGUCUCUGGGCCCCGAGGAUCUCUGUUUGAUUGUUUAAAACCCUUCUUAAUUGGCGCUUUGUCUGCACUCGCCUAAAUGAGGCGGGACACCCACGGCGGGGGUUCCCGUGGAGACUGUGGGCCGUUUGACAGCCCCCACAGUGGGGCCUGUCCCACAACCCCUCAAACUGCCAGCCGGAUGACAGGGGCCCGUGCUGCACCACCCUGGCCAAUUAAAACUCAGCUGUCAGGACCAGACUACACCAACACUGUGUGACCGAUUGCGGCUGAGAGAUACAGCAGAGAUUGAGGAAAUGUGUGUUUUGUGUUGAUUGUGUUUAUGGGUUCUGGACAUAAAAACUGAUGAAUAAACUAUUGUCAUCUCAGGCUCUUUUUGUGUUUCUUUGUGUAGUCUAAGUAGUUUGGUGUCAACAGGGGUUUUGGUUAAAAGUCAUCAAAGUAGCACUAUUGCAUUUGACCAUAAAUGAUAGGAUUUUAUGUGUGCUAGACUUCAUUAUGAACCUUUCUGACAUGCUAUAUGGUGAAAUUUGCACACAGAUUUGUAAUCCAGACAGUCAUUUGGGAAAAGCCCUUUUGCUUUUUUUUGGGAGGGUGGGGGGUGGUGGCUUAAGGCUAAAGUCUACAAGUGUAAUAGAGUGAUGAGAAGAAGCUAACACAUUUUUUUCUUUCACAGGUAUCUUUCUGAUCCUUCUCCUUGUCUAUUAUCCUUUUUAGCCUAAACUGGAGUUGUAAACAUUGGAAUGUCAUUAAAAUCUUUUUGGCAGUCACUUACAAAGACCCUAAAGCAGACAUGUCCAAGGUCCAUUGCGUGGAAAUUUCCACCUGCCCGCAGACUCCUUUCAUAAAAUCCAUAAUGUGGGGCCCACAUCAUUAUUUAAAGAUUGUGUACAAUUUCUUGAUUGUGGUGGCAUAAUUACAUUUUCCUAUUCACCAUGAAGAGGCACUACCAGACGAGACACGCUAUAUAUGACAAGCUAACUUGGAAUGCACGGAGGAAAAAAAUGACAAAUUGACAGUGAGUUUGGUAAAAAUGCAUUUCAAUGUAUUUGUUCUAUAAGAAGAAAUGAAAGUAUUUAAAUGCAACAAAAUGCUAAAAAUUAGUUCUUUUACAUUGAAUGUUGUUAAAAUAGUUGAAAGAAUGUCAGGCUGAAUGGUUGGCGCUCACGCAUUUUCACCUCACUAAAUUUGGCUCUCAUUGCAAAAAAGCUUAGAUACCCCUGCACCAAAGAGUCAAAGAAGUAAAAGAAAAAUGAACACUGGAUUCUUAUGUGCACGAGAAAGUUAUCUGGUGCUCACAAAAAACUGACUGGUGCACACGGGAAAGUGUCUGGUGCGCACAAGAAGCUAAGUAGUCAUUUGUGCACAGGAGACCUGUCAGUCACGUAAGAAUGAGCUUAUUGAGUGUUAUUUUACCUUCUGACUCGCCUACAAAGACAUUGCAGCCUCAUUUGUCUGAAGUCACUGUUAUGUUAUCUCUGAAUGUCACCUAAAACAAGUAUUAAAGUUGAGUUGUUGUUUUUUUUUUGAGUGCAGGGAAUACACCUGCUUUGAUCAAAUGAUGCGCUGCACACAAGUUUCUUUGUCAUGCACACCAGAUACUUCCACGUGCACAAGAAAAACCAGAACUAAUUUUUUU